GAUUGCCACUGCUUGGCUGAACCGAGCUCUAAAGAGACCUGCAAUGGGAAGUACCCGUCACCAUUUAAUAAGGAGCAAGAGGUUGAUGAUUGUAAGAGCCCUCCAGACCAGGACACGUUAUAUGCUUCUGCUUGUUGCAAUGGAAAGGUAUCCUCAUCACCUCCGGAAUGGUUGGACCCAUCUUUGCAGCUGCAUGUUCCACUGGUUGAUGUGGAUAAGGUUCGUUGUAUCAUCAGAAACAUUGUAAGAGAUUGGGCCAACGAGGGUCAAAAAGAACGUGAUCAGUGUUAUAGGCCCAUUCUGGAAGAGCUUGAACGCCUAUUUCCUAAUCGAUCUAAUGAAAAUCCUCCAGCCUGUUUGGUUCCUGGCGCUGGACUUGGA
This 381-nucleotide unclassified non-coding RNA is filed under the name Hevea brasiliensis (rubber tree). Lineage: Eukaryota; Viridiplantae; Streptophyta; Magnoliopsida; Malpighiales; Euphorbiaceae. The record is from RNAcentral.